UAAUCUAUCUGUGGUAGAUCCUCGUCUAAUUAUGGCAGACCCAUACCUCACUACUCAGAAUCACUCGUGAGAAUUAUUAUGUGAACAAUAACUUUUUAAAAU
Molecule: non-coding RNA, 102 nt
Organism: Populus trichocarpa (black cottonwood)
Lineage: Eukaryota; Viridiplantae; Streptophyta; Magnoliopsida; Malpighiales; Salicaceae
Source: Rfam